This is a long non-coding RNA of Ctenopharyngodon idella (grass carp), 1043 nucleotides long. RefSeq lists it as uncharacterized. NCBI's taxonomy places the organism in Eukaryota, Metazoa, Chordata, Actinopteri, Cypriniformes, Xenocyprididae. The transcript has 3 exons. The record is from RefSeq and is a predicted model, not a curated record.
AAAUGUAGGCUAUAAUAAGCACAUCACUAAUUAAAGGGACAGGGCGGAGCGGCAGAGAGCUGAAGUGUAAUGUCGCUCGAUGUCACUUUCACUCUCUCAACCUUGAAGUAACGGCAACAGAAGAAACAGAGGCAGUGUUUUUGAACAAAACACAAUGAAUCCUGAAAUAGACGACGUAAUGAGGCUCUGCUCUCAGAUAAUUGAGACUCGGAUUAAAGCAGCCGUAAAGACCUCAGUCAGAGGAGCUAUGACGAGCGGAGGGGCUUUUGUAGGGGGGCUAGUCGGAGGUCCACCCGGUGCGUUUGUUGGUGGUGCUCUGGGAGUUGCUGCGGGAUGGUGGAUGAGUGAAGAUUUGAAGCCUCUCCCUCAGAUCAUAAUGAAGAUGCCUCUUCAGGAGAAGCAAGAACUGUUCUCUAAUGUCAUGGAAGUACUGGGCAAUCUGGAUUGGGCUGAAGGGGCUGAACUUAUUUCAGCAGUAAUGGGUAAUUUCUCUCUGGAGGCGCAAGUGUGUGCUGUUAUAAUCUCAUUUGCUAAAAACAACCUUGGACUCAAAGAGUAGAAUGUAUAAAAAAUAGUGGGUUAAUGUUACUUGCUUAUUCUAAGCUAAGUUUGACAACAGUAUACCUGGAGCUUUUUUAGUUUAGGUGUUUUUGGUCCUGAAAUCUGUGUUUGUACUUUUAUUUUUCCUUAUUAAAAACUUGUUUGUAGGUGUUAUCGCAUUGUUCUGUUUUAAUAUUUUAAUCCAGUUUACCAGAGUAACAGUUUCACUGUAAAUGUUAAAAAUACUCAAAGAAAAUGUUUAAAAUACUCAAAGAAAUUGAGUAAAUUGCUUCUAAGUAAUUAAAAGUAAUCUUUUUUAAAAUGUGAAAUCAAGGCCACCUAAUGAGCAGUGACUUGGUCUUUAUUGAUUUUAUACACAAUGAAAUAAUUAUCAAAAAAUAAAGAAUUGUAAGCACUGCAAUCUCAUGCAUGUCAUGUUUGGUUUUGUUAUAUGGAUCACAUGUGGGUGUUGUAUUGACCGAGAAUCCAAAUGUUUUUCAUAU